Molecule: ribosomal RNA, 509 nt
Filed under: uncultured bacterium
Lineage: Bacteria
Description: partial 16S ribosomal RNA
Rfam family: Bacterial small subunit ribosomal RNA
Source: RNAcentral
GACGAACGCUGGCGGCGUGCUUAACACAUGCAAGUGGUGCGACGAACCAGGCGUCGGCCUGGGGCGAAGCCGCGAACGGGUGAGUAACACGUGGGCAAUCUGCCCCUCUGAUCGGGACAACCCGGGGAAACCCGGGCUAAUACCGAAUGAGGUGGCGACUCAUGAGAGUCGUCACGAAAGGAAGCUUCGGCCUCCGCGAAGGGAUGAGCCCGCGGCCCGUUAGCUUGUUGGUGGGGUAAUGGCCUACCAAGGCAACGAUGGGUAGCUGGUCUGAGAGGACGAGCAGCCACACUGGGACUGAGACACGGCCCAGACUCCUACGGGAGGCUGCAGUGGGGAAUCUUGCGCAAUGGGCGACAGCUUGACGCAGCAACGCCGCGUGAGGGAAGAAGGCUUUCGGGUCGUAAACCUCUUUCAGUUAGGACGAAGCUUUAUUGGUUAAUAACCAAUUGGAGUGACGGUACUUUCAGAAGAAGCCCCGGCUAACUACGUGCCAGCAGCCGCGGUAA